AGAUUGAGCGCUGGCGGCAUGCCUUACACAUGCAAGUCGAACGGCAGCACGGGAGCAAUCCUGGUGGCGAGUGGCGAACGGGUGAGUAAUACAUCGGAACGUGCCUAGUAGUGGGGGAUAGCCCGGCGAAAGCCGGAUUAAUACCGCAUACGACCUACGGGUGAAAGCGGGGGAUCGCAAGACCUCGCGCUAUUGGAGCGGCUGAUGUCAGAUUAGGUAGUUGGUAGGGUAAAGCCUACCAAGCCGACGAUCUGUAGCUGGUCUGAGAGGACGACCAGCCACACU
Molecule: ribosomal RNA, 285 nt
Filed under: uncultured soil bacterium
Lineage: Bacteria
Description: partial 16S ribosomal RNA
Rfam family: Bacterial small subunit ribosomal RNA
Source: RNAcentral